This 377-nucleotide ribosomal RNA is filed under the name uncultured microorganism. RNAcentral describes it as "bacterial SSU rRNA". It matches the Rfam family "Archaeal small subunit ribosomal RNA", at positions 330 to 709 of the family's 1478-position model. The record is from RNAcentral.
GUGCAGCAGGCGAGAAACCUCCGCAAUGCGCGAAAGCGCGACGGGUUACCCCGAGUGCCGUCCGCUGAGGACGGCUUUUGCCCAGCGUAGCCAGCUGGGCGAAUAAGGAGAGGGCAAGUCUGGUGUCAGCCGCCGCGGUAAUACCAGCUCUCCGAGUGGUGGGGACGCUUAUUGGGCCUAAAGCAUCCGUAGCCGGUCUGGCAAGUCCCUUGUUAAAUCCAACGAUUCAAUCGUUGGACUGGCAAGGGAUACUGCCAGGACUAGGGGGCGGGAGAGGCCGACGGUAUUCCCGGGGUAGGGUGAAAUCCUAUAAUCCCGGGAGGACCACCAGUGGCGAAGGCUGUCGGCUAGAACGCGCCCGACGGUGAGGGAUGAAA